GCGCCCGUAGCUCAACGGAUAGAGCAUCUGACUACGGAUCAGAAGGUUAGGAGUUCGAAUCUCUUCGGGCGCAC
This 74-nucleotide transfer RNA is filed under the name Actinomycetes bacterium. RNAcentral describes it as "tRNA-Arg". It matches the Rfam family "tRNA". From Rfam's summary of the family: Transfer RNA (tRNA) molecules are approximately 80 nucleotides in length. Their secondary structure includes four short double-helical elements and three loops (D, anti-codon, and T loops). Further hydrogen bonds mediate the characteristic L-shaped molecular structure. tRNAs have two regions of fundamental functional importance: the anti-codon, which is responsible for specific mRNA codon recognition, and the 3' end, to which the tRNAs corresponding amino acid is attached (by aminoacyl-tRNA synthetases). tRNAs cope with the degeneracy of the genetic code in two manners: having more than one tRNA (with a specific anti-codon) for a particular amino acid; and 'wobble' base-pairing, i.e. permitting non-standard base-pairing at the 3rd anti-codon position. RNAcentral also lists the same sequence under 1 other name. The record is from RNAcentral. Lineage: Bacteria; Bacillati; Actinomycetota; Actinomycetes.